RNAcentral lists this ribosomal RNA (221 nucleotides) under Escherichia coli. Its description in RNAcentral is "partial 16S ribosomal RNA". It matches the Rfam family "Bacterial small subunit ribosomal RNA", at positions 1 to 218 of the family's 1533-position model. RNAcentral also lists the same sequence under 1 other name. Lineage: Bacteria; Pseudomonadati; Pseudomonadota; Gammaproteobacteria; Enterobacterales; Enterobacteriaceae. The record is from RNAcentral.
AAAUUGAAGAGUUUGAUCAUGGCUCAGAUUGAACGCUGGCGGCAGGCCUAACACAUGCAAGUCGAACGGUAACAGGAAACAGCUUGCUGUUUCGCUGACGAGUGGCGGACGGGUGAGUAAUGUCUGGGAAACUGCCUGAUGGAGGGGGAUAACUACUGGAAACGGUAGCUAAUACCGCAUAACGUCGCAAGACCAAAGAGGGGGACCUUCGGGCCUCUUGC